This is a long non-coding RNA of Ictalurus punctatus (channel catfish), 948 nucleotides long. The record is from Ensembl. Lineage: Eukaryota; Metazoa; Chordata; Actinopteri; Siluriformes; Ictaluridae.
GUGAGUAGCGCCCUGCUGGUGAGCUUGUGGGAGGAGGUUAAAUGGCUCUGUUGGUUCCAGAUGGAAGCUAAUAGGCCACACCUGGGCUUGUAAUUCUGUGCCUGUGGGCUCAAAGCCUGACUCAGCCAAACACACACACCAUGAGCUCUCCAAUCUGUGGUCUGCAGUUUGGCCGGUCAGCGCAAUUCUCAGGCUUCAGAGUCAGUCUGGCCCAACCGUCAUUGCAGCAGUUCACUGCUUUCUUUAGCCUUUUUAUUGUCGCCAUAUCCAGAAACAAACAGCAGGAAUGUGCAAUGUGCAAUUCUUAAUUUGCACAGUGCCUUGAGUUGCAAAGUACCUCUCAUUACAUGUCCAUGCAGGCCACAAACUCCACUUCCCAGAAUACACCGCGACUUACUAAGAUAGCCGCUCCGAACUACCUUCCCCCAGAAACCACAACAGCUUCUCUGCUCCCAAACACCGGGCUUCCAAUCACAUGUGUGACAAGUUGAAAUGUGUUAAGUUAAAUAGUCCAAUGUUUAAAGAAGAGAGUUAAGAGUGUUUGUUUUUCACUGUUGUUCCAUUUUCAUGUGUUGAGACAUUGAUAAUUCAAGUAAGUAUAAUGCUGACCAGUCAUCUAUUAGGAUGGUCUGAAUCCUGCACUCUGGUAUCGAUUGCUUUAGUCUCUGCCCACAUACCUGGAGGAAAAGCAGUAAUUUUCCAUUUGAGUAAAGCUCUCGUGGAAGUAACACCUACCGUCAUGCUUAUGUCUUAUUUCUCCUUUAUAUAGAUGCAGCAGGAUUUGUGCCACGCUCUUUUUGCCCAGGGACAAUUAAUGGGAACACAGCAACAACAUCUGUGCAAUCUGUACUUUGCAAGUCACAAAGGGAUGUCGGAAGCAAACAACAUCGCACACUUCAUGAAUCUCCUCAAUGUGCUUACUGUAAGUGGGCUAUGGCAGUGUGGGAG